AGAGUUUGAUCAUGGCUCAGAUUGAACGCUGGCGGAAUGCUUUACACAUGCAAGUCGAACGGCAGCAUAGGUGCUUGCACCUGAUGGCGAGUGGCGAACGGGUGAGUAAUACAUCGGAACGUGCCCAGUCGUGGGGGAUAACGUAGCGAAAGUUACGCUAAUACCGCAUACGAUCUACGGAUGAAAGCGGGGGACCGUAAGGCCUCGCGCGAUUGGAGCGGCCGAUGUUAGAUUAGGUAGUUGGUGGGGUAAAGGCUCACCAAGCCGACGAUCUAUAGCUGGUCUGAGAGGAUGAUCAGCCACACUGGGACUGAGACACGGCCCAGACUCCUACGGGAGGCAGCAGUGGGGAAUUUUGGACAAUGGGCGCAAGCCUGAUCCAGCCAUUCCGCGUGCAGGACGAAGGCCUUCGGGUUGUAAACUGCUUUUGUACAGAACGAAAAGCUCUGAGUUAAUACCUCGGGGUCAUGACGGUACUGUAAGAAUAAGCACCGGCUAACUAUGAAAGGGCAGCCGCGGUAAU
RNAcentral lists this ribosomal RNA (523 nucleotides) under uncultured bacterium. Its description in RNAcentral is "bacterial SSU rRNA". It matches the Rfam family "Bacterial small subunit ribosomal RNA", at positions 8 to 524 of the family's 1533-position model. The record is from RNAcentral.